Molecule: ribosomal RNA, 497 nt
Filed under: uncultured bacterium
Lineage: Bacteria
Description: partial 16S ribosomal RNA
Rfam family: Bacterial small subunit ribosomal RNA
Source: RNAcentral
GAUGAACGCUGGCGGCGUGCCUAAUACAUGCAAGUCGAGCGAACGGACGCAAAGCUUGCUUCUCUGAUGUUAGCGGCGCACGGGUGUGUAACACGUGGAUACCCUCCCUAUAUGACUGGGAUAACUUCGGGAAUCCGUAGCUAAUACCGGAUAAUCUUUUCAACCGCAUGGUUCUAAAGUGAAAGAUGGUCUUGCUGUCACUUAUCGAUCUAUCCGCGCUGCAUUGGCUAGUUGGUGAGCUAACGGCUUACCAAGGCGACGAUGCAUAGCCGACGAGAGCGGGGGAUGCGGCACACUGAGACUGUGAGACGGUCCAGACACCGACGGGAGGCAGCGGUAGGGAAGCGUCCGAAAUGGGGGAAAUCCUGACGGAGCAACGCCGGGUGAGUGAUGAAGGUCUGCGGAUCGGAAGACGCUGUUAGUAGGGAAGAACAUAUUUGUAAGUAACGGUGCGCAUCGUGACGGUACCUGAUCAGAAAGCCACGGCUAACUACGUG